RNAcentral lists this long non-coding RNA (1639 nucleotides) under Olea europaea subsp. europaea. The record is from RNAcentral. Lineage: Eukaryota; Viridiplantae; Streptophyta; Magnoliopsida; Lamiales; Oleaceae.
CUUCUUCAACGAACUAAUAUGCAAGAGGCCAAAGAAGUUAGUAUCCCACUAUCUAUUUCAGAAACAUUCAAGCUUGAUGAUAGCUCACUUGAACAUGAUCCAACUGAAUAUCGUCAAAUGCUUGGCUCGCUUAUCUUUCUCUUACACAGCCUGAUGUUAGCUAUGCCGUUAACAAGUUGGCUCAGUUCAUGCAAAAACCAACCUCUAAUCAUUGGCUCACUGUUGAACGAGUUCUUCGCUAUCUCAAAGAAACCCUUCAUUAUGGUAUCUUCAUUUCCGCUCAAUCACUUCUUGUGCUUCAUGCCUUUGUCGAUGCCAACUGGGUUGGUGAUGUUGAUACACGUCACUCUUAGCUCCAAUCCUAUUAGUUGGAUCUCUAAGAAAUAAUCUACUAUAGCUUGCUGUUCAACCGAGGCCGAAUAUCGUGCCAUUGCUGCUGCUGCUGCUGAGGUGAAUUGGUUCACUAACUUGCUACGAGAAUUAGCUGUAUCAAUCCCAGCUCCAACAAUUUAUUGUGACAAUGUUAGUGCUACUUAUGCUCCAUCCCUGUUUUUCAUUCACACAUGAAACACAUUGUCAUUGACUUUCAUUUUGUACGUGAUCAAGUUUCUCGCAAGUUAUUUCACAUGUCCAUACUACAGACCAACUUGCUGACUCUCUUACUAAACCUCUAGCUCGGAAGCAGUUCCAAACUCAUCGGUCCAAGCUUAAUGUCCUUCCCGGACCGUUAAGCUCGCAAGAGGAUGAUAGAGCUCAAAAUUAGCAAAGUAUUUUAUUCUUUCUCUAAUUGUAAUCCUAUAAUAAUUCUCUCCUUAUUUAGCCAAUUUUGUUUCCUACUGUAUAGACAAGAUUGGUGGACUGACUCUACUAGAUUAAUGGGACUGAUUUCUCUUCCUGGUAUAUAUACUCGUAAUCAUCCCUGUCACUACAUAUUGGAAUAUUCAACCUCUUUAAUCGGGGACCUCUAGAAAAGACAGUAAUUAAGAUUUUGGGGGGAAUCUUCACACUGUUAUAGUGUUUUUCUAGGGUAUAGAAAAGACCUGGAUCUUUGUGUGUCCACCAGUUGUAUGGUGUAUUCAUCACAAAUUUUGCUUGUGGAAGUAGUCUUCGUUAAGUAUGAGCCAAAACACCUUUACAUUUGUGCCUUUUUUUUAGUUGGUUUUGUAUAUUUCCUCUUUUAUUCUCUUGUAUUCUGCUGCGUGAAUAGAUCGCUUUGGGUUGAUUAUGAUAGUUGUUAACCUUAGGCAUUCUGCUUAUUUAAUUUGUAAUUUUUUUCUGUUCAUAUUUUUCAAGAUUAAGAAAGAUUACUUGUUAUUUUUACUUCUGUAAUCCAAUGCUGAUAUGCUGCCUCGUGGUUCAAACUUCUAUCUUCUCGUGCUAAUUCAGUAAAAGAUUCCCAGCAAUCAGUAGCUUUUGGGAACUUAAAUGGAGACGUUGAUGAAGAAUGGUUACACAUUUCGCAAAUGAAUACGAGGUAAUUUCAUAAUGUGAUGGAUGCUGGAUGUAUCUUUUCUUAUGCUAUAAUGCUCAUUCAAUCAAUAGUUGAUUGAAAUCUUUUCAGUUAAGCAUUUUAGCCGAGGAAAAUCUGGAUUCGGGAUUAUUGUGCUUUUAGAAUUGCAAGGUAGAUUGUCGAAACAAG